AAGGUAGCAUAAUAAUUUGCCGCUUAAUUAGUGGCUAGUAUGAACGGACAAACGCAAGCCCCCCUGUCUCACCAACAUAAAUAAAAAUUAACUUUUAGGUGAAGAGGCCUAAAUUAAAUAAAAAGACAAAAAGACCCUGUGGAGCUUUAUUCAAACCCUCUAUCUACCUGUCCAGCACAACCCCCCCAGAGGCUAUAAAUUUAGUUGGGGCGACUUGGGAAAACUAUAGAUCUUCCCCCAAAAAAAGAAACACUCUACCAAUAAUCCGCCACGCGAAUAAAAAUCCAGCUACCCCAGGGAUAACAGGCUAAUUCUUCCCAAGAGCCCAAAUUAACGGAAGAGAUUGGCACCUCGAUGUUGGCUUAGGGUUCCUACAAGAUGUAGAAGUCUUGAAAGUGGGUUUGUUCAACCCUUAAAACCCUACGUGAUCUGAGUUCA
RNAcentral lists this ribosomal RNA (438 nucleotides) under Laonice sp. NHM 2076. RNAcentral's name for it is "partial large subunit ribosomal RNA". It matches the Rfam family "Bacterial large subunit ribosomal RNA", at positions 1953 to 2613 of the family's 2925-position model. Lineage: Eukaryota; Metazoa; Annelida; Polychaeta; Spionida; Spionidae. The record is from RNAcentral.